UGCCUACGGAGGCAGCAUGGGGGAUAUUGCACAAUGGGGGGAACCCUGAUGCAGCGACGCCGCGUGGGUGAAGAAGCGCUCGGCGCGUAAAGCCCUGUCAGCAGGGAAGAAAAUGACGGUACCUGAAGAAGAAGCCCCGGCUAACUACGUGCC
Molecule: ribosomal RNA, 153 nt
Filed under: uncultured bacterium
Lineage: Bacteria
Description: partial 16S ribosomal RNA
Rfam family: Bacterial small subunit ribosomal RNA
Source: RNAcentral